This 494-nucleotide ribosomal RNA is filed under the name uncultured bacterium. RNAcentral describes it as "partial 16S ribosomal RNA". It matches the Rfam family "Bacterial small subunit ribosomal RNA", at positions 28 to 507 of the family's 1533-position model. The record is from RNAcentral.
GACGAACGCUGGCGGCGUGCUUAACACAUGCAAGUCGAACGGUGAAGCGCCUUCCUUUUUGGUGGGUGUGGAUGAGUGGCGAACGGGUGAGUAACACGUGAGUAACCUGCCCCCUUCUUCUGGAUAACCGCAUGAAAGUGUGGCUAAUACGGGAUAUUCUGGGUCUGUCGCAUGAUGGGUCUGGGAAAGAUAUUGUUUCGGUGGGGGAUGGGCUCGCGGCCUAUCAGCUUGUUGGUGGGGUGAUGGCCUACCAAGGCGGUGACGGGUAGCCGGCCUGAGAGGGUGGACGGUCACACUGGGACUGAGACACGGCCCAGACUCCGACGGGAGGCAGCAGGGGGGAAUAUUGCACGAUGGGCGCAAGCCUGAUGCAGCGACGCCGCGUGAGGGAUGGAGGCCUGCGGGUUGUGAACCUCUUUCGCCAGUGAAGCAGGCCUGCCUCGUUUGUGGGUGGGUUGACGGUAGCUGGAUAAGAAGCGCCGGCUAACUACGUG